GCGGGCAGACUUGAUGCGCUGAUUGGAGUAUUCAGUGCCAGUCAUAUGGCAACACUGCAAGUGCCUGCACCAGCUCUGCCAUCACUCUAUUUCAGCCCCUACAUUAUUCAAGUUCCUAUUUCUUAACAAUCACCAGUGAUCAAAGCAGACAGGUGCAAUUGCAGGUGGUUGGAGUGGCCAUACAGCAUCUGUAAGGGUAAAAUAAUGUCCACAACAAAGGCCUUGUGAGGCUCUCGCUGUCUUUCAUCUGGCUGAGGCGAGAGAUAAAGAGAGAGAACAUGCGAGAGAGCAUCAUUACAAAUCCAUCUACACUCUUUAUCUAAUCACUAAUGGCUUUGGAGAGGAGUUUCAAAACCAUCAACACUGCUGUUUCACAAUGUUUCCCGCAAUAUCCCCCUUACAGCCAGCCAUUAUGUAAACCAGGGUACAAAAUAUGCUGUUCCAGUCUAUUCCUGCUCCCUCUGUCUCUUUUCAUUCCAUAUGCCACAGUCAAGAUGACCUUUUGCUGCUGAUGGAUGCCAAAAUGCAGUGAUCUCUAGUGGAUCUGAUGUGACAGCAAGAUUUUCAGAUGAUUCGCAAAACACAUCGAGAAACUGUCAAGGUCAAUAUUUCACAUGUCUUCCUGAAGGCCACUUCCGACCAGCCAGUUGCUGCUUUUUCCUGGAACUAAACCAUCGUGCGCCCAGUGGAUGAUUCCUGAGAUCAUUGGACAGCUCCAUGUGGAGAAUGACCUUUUCAGCCAUGUGUCACCUGCCCACACGGAUGCUCCAGGUGGUCCUCUCAGCAUAACGUGUCUGAAUGUCUGUGUCAUAAAGCUCCAGUGAAGCAACUCAAAAAAUAGAAAACAGGAAAGAGGAUGACAACAAAACUAUUGGACUCAAGUACAGACCCGCAUGCAGUCACAGAUAUGUGGUUAUUUUAUUUUAUUUUUAUUCAGCAGUAGCUGGCAAGUGUUUAGUUUAAAAGAAAGCAUUGAGACAGUUGGUAUUAAAGCCACAUAAGGCAAAAGUUGGCAGCACCAAGGCAGGCAAAAUA
Molecule: long non-coding RNA, 1035 nt
Organism: Scatophagus argus
Lineage: Eukaryota; Metazoa; Chordata; Actinopteri; Scatophagidae
Exons: 2
Source: RefSeq, a predicted model, not a curated record